CAGAGCAAGACUCUGUCUCAAAAAAUAGAAUAGAAUAGAAUAGAAUAAAAUAAAAUGAAAUAAGAUAAAAUUUCAUUGAGAGGUCUGAUGAAACUUCUUCCAGGUGUGUUGAGCCUUUAGUGCCCUCUGUUCUGAACUGUACUCCAUUCUAAUGUCUGAUUUAGCUUUCAUAAUCCAUUCUGCUUGUUUGAAGUCUAGUUCUCCCUUCCCACUAUCUGUACUCCACAUUUCUAGACUUUAUCCAUUGUUCACUUCUUUCUGGACUGGAUCCCUCUGAGCCUCCGUGCCUGCCUGAAUUGACCUGAAGUUGCCCACCUUGCUCCCAUACUUGAUCCAUGACUUGUCUGUCACUUAGGGGCAGCCAUUCCUUUCGUCUUUUUAAUGUUUUUCUUUACCUAUGGUGUAUAUUUUCAGGUCUAUUUCCCUUGUCUUAGCUUUUAUCAUGUUUUAUUCUAAAACCAAGAUUGACACAGGCUUAAUAGGCUUAUCUUCAUAGGUAAACAAAAAACUCUUCGAGAGCCAUACAUUGGCCAUAUUUCGCAGUAAUUAGGAUACCUCCAAAUUCUCUACAUUAAAGCAUUUCAGAAUAGUUUAUUCUUUUGUUGAAUCCUUUAUACUGAGUAAAAAAGGAGCUUGAACUUUCCUUAUGUGUGGGAUAUUAUUUAUCUUUAAAUUCAAAUGCUAGUUUUAUCUACCAUACAAAAAGGGUGUUAUCCAUAGUUUGCUUAUUAAUGAGGGUAUGCAGCAUAAUUUGGAAGGUCUUAAUAUAUGGAGAAACAGGUCAUGCACAUAUUUUCCUGAUACCACCAGUAGGUGUUCAAAAUUGUGGACCAGCUGAGCCAAAAUGAACCCCAGCAGGUUUCCUAAUCAUUGCUUAGAAUACAUUAAAAAGACCUCAGUGGGUUAUGAAAUACAGGCAGCUGCUUGCCCUACUAUGUAUGGAUUCAUUUUGGAUAAGGGCAAGAGUGUAUUUAAGUGUAUAAUAAGGAGUUUUCAUUCUUUGCAGACUUCAAGCAGCUUGGCAUUUGUUUUCCUAAUGCAAAGCAUUAGUGUAAACAGUAUAACAAUUGAUAUUUUAUACAUCUGUUGGUCUAUUCAGUUAGCUUAUGUAUUUCAGUGCUAGACUUAUAAAACAACCACAAGCACAAAACCUCAGUAUUUUUAUAAUCCCACGUUAAGUGAAUGAUUAACCAACACAGGGAGGAAGCUAGUGUGAGGCAGCAUUCUGCCCUGGAGCACCCACCAUGCUGAUACAUUUAGGAUGAAGAGAGUCUAGGGAAGUCAUGCUUCUGUCCUGGGAAUGUUAUGAAAUCCAAGCAAGAAAGAAUUACUAUUGAGGCAAUUUUAAAUAAGCUAGCAGAGAAAAACUGCAAUCCCUUGGCAAUGAAUGGUUCCGACUAAGGAGAACUCAUCCAUAACAAGUUGGUAUAGUUCUUUAAAGAAUUUCUUCCCACUGCUGCUGUAGGAGCUAGAAACAAAUAUCUAGACCAUUUUGUUUGUUUUUGCUAGCUCUGUGGACUGAUAUCCCUUUUCGAGCUAAAUACUCAAAACUAAAUACUAAAGGAAAGAAUACUACUAAGGAAAUACUAAAGUGGGUGACUUUGGUAGAAGUCUUCGGUGAAAAUGUGGGAUAGAGAAGGCUUUAAACAUGACCUUUUAUAAGUGUGGUAUUCACAAAUUCAAAAUGAAAUUCAUGGAUACUGGAUUUUGUCUAAAAUCUUCAGCAAUCUUGAACCUAAAAUUCCUUAUCAAUGUAUUUAUUACACUCACGUGGUGGAUCAUAAGCAUACAUAUCAUAAGGGGUGCUUGUGUGUAAAAAGAGAGUUCUCUAUUUUAAUCUUUCAGGUGUCAAGGAAAGGAAACAUGGUGAGGUUACCCCAUUCUGGGGAGUUUAUUACAACUAUACCUGGAAAAACAAAAAGGAACACUGACAAUUCCCGUGGUAUGUCUGAGCCUAGAUCUACUGUCCAGAGUCAUGCACCCUUCUUGCCCAGCUCUGCAAGUGGUGAUCUGAAGUCUGAGCUGUUUUUCUACAACGAGGCACACAUCCUGUCUAUUCCUGUAGUCUCUGAGCUAGUUCUGCUUCUGUUUUACAAUUUGACCACUUUAAAUGGGCCAGAUUGCUCUUGGAAAAUUUAAAAGAGCUAAAUAAAAAUGUACAUGUAUAAAACAGAGUUAUUUCAAGUUUCUCACACAUGCAUUCAAUUUUUAUUAAACACAUACACAUACAUGUAUUUUUAGCAAAUAUAAGGGUGGUAGUAAUAUCAAAGUAGAACUAGGAAUAGCAUUACUGUAGGCAAAUUAUUGAACUAGGAAUUCUGUGUUUGAAGGCUUGAUGAUUUCAUUGAGUUCUGUGUCCUAGAAGCAUCUUCAUCUGCUCCAAGCCAAGUACUCUGUCUUCAUACUUGGGCAUGAAUACAAUUCAAGAUAGUCAUCAACAAAAUGAUAGUGGUGCCUUGUCAUGUGAUAGAAACUAUAUUGCAAUUUUUUGAUUCCUGACAUAGUAUGAAUAGUAAUAUAAACCACAAACUCUGGAAAAA
Cercocebus atys (sooty mangabey) is the source of this 2540-nucleotide long non-coding RNA. RefSeq lists it as uncharacterized. Lineage: Eukaryota; Metazoa; Chordata; Mammalia; Primates; Cercopithecidae. The transcript is spliced from 2 exons. The record is from RefSeq and is a predicted model, not a curated record.